GGGAGGGUGGGUGAUGGGUAUUGAGGAGGGCACCUUUUGGGAUGAGCACUGGGUGUUGUAUGGAAACCAAUUUGUCAAUAAAUUUCAUAUAUAAAAAAAAAAAAAAGAAAAGAAAAUGUGGCCUUGAAGUGUGAAGUCUUUCCUUCAUGCUCAAUUCACAAAUUUGCUUGCACUUUUACUUCUUUAAAAAUGUUUUAAACAUUUUUGAGACAGACUGCGAGUGGGGGAGGGGCAGAGAGAGAAGGAGACACCGAAUUCGAAGCAGGAUCCAGGCUCUGAGUUCUCAGGACAGAGCCCUACCUGGGGCUCAAACCCACAAACUGAGAGAUCAUGACCUGAACCGAAGUCAGGCUUGACUGAGCCACUCAGGCGCCCCCACGUGCGCUUUUAGGAAAAGGAUUGUUGGGGCGCCUGGGUGGCUCAGUUGGUUUAAGCAUCCGACUUCAGCUCAGGUCGUGGGGGUUGAUGCGUUUGAGUCCCCCCAUGGGACUCUGCGGUCAGCACUUCAGAUCCUCUGUCCCCUCUCUCUGGCCCUCCCCUGCUUGUGCGCACUCUCCCUCUCCGUGUCUUAAAAGAAAUAAACUUAAAAAAUGUAUUUAAAGAAACGAUGGUUUACUUACAGAUUCAAAGUCAUACUCCCAAGAGUUGCGUGUAUUUUGCCUCCUGUGCGGCAGUUUCCCUGAUUAUUUAAAUGAGCAGCCAGGCCCCAAACGCAGCUGGUUGGCUAGCCUCAGUGCCAUCAAAGGGAACGGAGCCUCACUGCGAUUGCGUGCAGUUGGCUUGGCCGAGGCUCCCUGCCCUCCGGUACAACUCAGGGAGGCACACGCUUAGCAUUUUAAUCACACUUCGGCCAACCUUCGAAGCUGGCAUGGGGGGAGGGGGGAAAAUCAACUUCCUGCUGGCUUUCAAGUUUGACGACAGAACGGCCACACCAAAUGAACUUGCAGCCCUGCCGCUCUCGGUGGCCUUCCUGGCCCGGCUGGAGUCAGCGUACCCAGUCCUUCAGAAGGGAUCACGGGAACGACACCUGCCAAAUACAUGUGGAGUCCAGGAGGCUAAGAAGGCGAUUUCGUCGGGGCAUCCUGGUCACCACAACCGGACAUGUAGGCAAUUAUUUACGGUCUGAGAGGCGCUGUGGGAUCAGAGAGAGCCCGGGCUCUGGGGGGAAGCGUUUUUCCACCCAUCACACUAGCCAAGAUGAAAAAAUUAGGGAAAAUGCACGUUGUUGAAAGUCUGGGAAACAGACACUCCCAGAAACGCUGGGAGUGAACACUAGAGCAACUUCAAAGAACUUUACCUCUCAAAAUGUAAAAAGUGUGCACCCUUUGCUAUGCAAGGUCACCUGUUAAGCCAUCCUACUGUAGCGUUUUUCUUAGACACAUACUUAACACUUACACACGAUUACAAAUGUAGCAAUGAGGGGCGCCUGGGUGGCUGAGUCAGUUAAGCGUCCCAACUCUUGAUUUCAGCUCAGGUCACGAUCUCACAGUUCACGAGAUCGAGCCCCGCGUCAGGUUCUGCGCUGACAGCACAGAGCCUGCUUGGGAUUCUCUCUCUCCCUCUUUCUCUGCCUCUCUCUGUCUCCCCAAAUAAAUAAACAUGAAAAAACGUAGCAAUGUCACGUUGGGACUGGGAACUAAUGAAAUAUGUUAAAGUACACUCCUAUAAUGUUUUACCAAGUUUCAUUAUUUUAGUUCUGUAACCUUUAUUAGUUUUUAAUUUAUUUUUGAGAGAGAGAGCGUGCACGCAGGGGACGGGCAGAGAGAGAGGUGGGGACAGCGCAUCCAAAGCGGGCUCCACGCUGACAGCACAAGCCCAGUGAGGGGCUGGAUCUCGUGAACCAAACUGUGAGAUCAUGACCUGAGCCAUCCAGGUGCCCCGAUUCCUGUACCCUUUGUAUCAUACCUCACACGUUAGAUUUUGUCACAACUGGAUUAGUGGAAGCAGAGGAAUCCAGUUCGCGAUUUUCUGAAACACUGGCACAAAAAAGGUAAGAGAACAGUGCCUUAGAAAAGAUUCUUCGUAAAAGAUCACCAGAAAAACCCCUAAACAAAAGCUAAAGAAUCGUGAAGUUUAAUCUGAAUAGGUAAAAACUUAUUACAGCGAGCUGGUACUAAGUUUCUUGCUUAAGCCCAUAAAUCUUUCCCUAAACGUUACUGAUCCUCUGAAGGAUAAAUGUAACUCAGCAGUACGUUAUGACACUGAUAGCUGCUGGAACAUUCCACAGAAAAACAGAAAAUAAUUUUGUAAGAACAUAAUGGCAACCAUCAGCAGCUGGUAUUCUCAGACUUUCAAAUUCCUGAAAGCAUAUACAAUUUUAGUCUCGAAACAGUCAACAUUUUUUAAAAACCCAGCUUUCAGAAUGAAAAGCAACCUCCCCUCCCGUCUUUUCCCCAGCACAGAGAUACUGAAAGAGUUCCUAAAAAUGUCCCUAAAUAGCCUAUGGAAAGAAAAAUAUGGCUUUGUAUUUAUUUUUGAAAACUUUUUAAAUGUUUAUUUUUUGAGAGAGAGUGAGCGAGUGUGCAUGUGAGUGUGGGAGGGGCAGAGAGAGAGGGAGACACAGAAUCCGAAGCAGGCUCCAGGCUCUGAGCUAUCCGCACAGAGCCGGACGUGGAGCUCGAACCCACGAACCACGGGAUCAAGACUUAAGCCGAAGUCAGACACUUAACUGACUGAGCCACCCAG
This 2685-nucleotide long non-coding RNA is filed under the name Lynx canadensis (Canada lynx). RNAcentral describes it as "lncRNA (ENSLCNG00005018216.1)". The record is from RNAcentral. Lineage: Eukaryota; Metazoa; Chordata; Mammalia; Carnivora; Felidae.